CCGGCGGCUCCUGCCUGCCCUCAGCUCUCCUUAACAUGAUGGGGUCCCGCUUCGCCUCGCCGAGGGCGCGCCCCCCACUGAAGGCCCCGGUGUUGGGGCGGGCCUGACCGCCCUGGCAGGACCCCCAAGUGAGGACAGAGAGAGAGAGAAGCAGAGGGAGAAGCAGGCUCCCAAGGAGCAGGGAGCCCGAUGCAGGACUCGAUCCCAGGACCCUGGGAUCAUGACCUGAGCCGAAAGCAGACGCUUAACCAUCUGAGCCACCCAGGCACCCCAUAGAGCUUAUUUUUAAUGAUGCGAGAGAGAGCACCAAGCAGGAGGAGCAGCAGAGGGAAAAGGAGAAGCAGGC
This is a long non-coding RNA of Zalophus californianus (California sea lion), 346 nucleotides long. RefSeq lists it as uncharacterized. The transcript has 3 exons. The record is from RefSeq and is a predicted model, not a curated record. NCBI's taxonomy places the organism in Eukaryota, Metazoa, Chordata, Mammalia, Carnivora, Otariidae.